UUGUUUCGGCAGCACAUAUACUAAAAAAAAAAAAAAAAUUGGAACGAUACAGAGAUUAGCAUGGCCCCUGCAAAAGGAUGACAUGCAAAUUCAUGAAGCAUUCCAUUAAAAA
Small nuclear RNA from Manis pentadactyla (Chinese pangolin), 112 nucleotides. The record is from RefSeq and is a predicted model, not a curated record. Lineage: Eukaryota; Metazoa; Chordata; Mammalia; Pholidota; Manidae.